CUCCUUUAGUCUUUUCAGUUUUCCAGCAUCUGGCUCAUCAUUUUUUACAUGAAACUGUCUUCAUUGUAAUACUGGUGCAGUUUCUGUUUCCUGACGACUGACUGAAGCAGUCCCAGUCCCAGUCGCCCUGCACUGGCUCACCAUCAUCUGAACUAAGCCUGAAGAAGAGCAUCCUGAUGGAAAAUUAAUAUUGGCUUCCCAUUCCCCUUAGGAUAAAGUCUAAACCUCGGGCCCUGUCUGAUUUUAUAGCUGCAUCUCUUGCUGUCCCAAGCUUGCAACUUAUGCUGUAGGCAUAUGGGACUUCCUGAAGUUCUUCCCGGUUGCCAUGCUUUGUCACCUUCAAGCCAUUGAAUAUAUGUUUCUUCUGCUAAGGACACUGAUACUUUCCACUCUUUUAUCUGGAUAACUCUCACAUAUCCUUCAAGUGCCAGCAGAGAUGUCAGUUCCCCUGGGAGCCUUCAGUGAUUUCUCCCUCUUUCCCAUGGUAUCCUGUCCUUUCCUUCUGAUGGCAUUCAUUUACUUAUUUGUUUCUUCCACUGGACUGCAAACUCCUUGAAAGCAGUACUACCUGUAAUUUAAUAAGUAGCUUCAUAAAUAUUUGACAAGGACUUCCUUAGAAAAUCUCAAUGCUUUCUUUUUACUUUUUUGGAGCAAGGACGAAGAUCCAGUUACCAUGACUGCUGAUGCAAGCCAUGCCCUGCGUGAUUACUGAGUGUUUCAUCUCCCAUCCAAAGGACAAGCUAAUGUUGUGAAAAUUGCCAAAGUGGGACUCAAGGGCAACAAACAAGAUGCCUUAGAGACCUGAGAUGUCUCUGAGGCUGCCGUGUGUCACUCCCGUGAUGGAGGGGGACAGGGAUCAGCUAUUGAGUCACCGGGUUAAAAGCCUUCCCAUCACCCACAGUAGCUGAAGGCAUUGUGUCAAAGAUAAGCAGCGAAAGAAAAUGAAGCCUUGUCAAGUCCUCACACAUAUGAUUUCAGGAUGCUAAUGAGAGGCAUCGGAUCAGAGGGGAAGACUGUGAAUGUGCCUGCUUUUCUGAGGCUGCACCAUGCAAUGAAAGAAAAAGACUUCAGCGCCAGAACUUGGUUCAAAUCUUGGUUUUUCUUCUAACUCCCAAUGGAGUUAGGGACCUUGCUGCCAAGAUACUUGGAGGUCAGAAGACCCAGUAGCUCCACCCCAGAAGAUCAGCCCUGUUAACACAGCCGUGUUGUUAAAGCACAGAGGCACUGAGACAGCAACAAGGAGAGAGAGCGCCUCCUCCCAGGGAAAUCGAGCUAUUUUCUUGGUUGUCAUCUAGCAUCCCCAGGCCUGAG
RNAcentral lists this long non-coding RNA (1311 nucleotides) under Equus caballus (horse). Its description in RNAcentral is "lncRNA (ENSECAG00000049099.1)". The record is from RNAcentral. Lineage: Eukaryota; Metazoa; Chordata; Mammalia; Perissodactyla; Equidae.